UACGGGGGAUGCAAGCGUUAUCCGGAUUUAUUGGGUUUAAAGGGUGCGUAGGCUGUAAGGUAAGUCAGCGGUGAAAUGCCCCCGCUCAACGGGGUGAAGUGCCAUUGAUACUGCCUUGCUGGAAUGCGGAUGCCGUGGGAGGAAUGUGUGGUGUAGCGGUGAAAUGCGUAGAUAUUAGGAGGAACACCAGUGGCGAAGGCGGCUUACUGGACGGUAACUGACGCUGAGGCUCGAAAGCGUGGGGAGCAAACAGG
This 254-nucleotide ribosomal RNA is filed under the name uncultured Bacteroidales bacterium. Its description in RNAcentral is "partial 16S ribosomal RNA". It matches the Rfam family "Bacterial small subunit ribosomal RNA", at positions 524 to 776 of the family's 1533-position model. The record is from RNAcentral. Lineage: Bacteria; Pseudomonadati; Bacteroidota; Bacteroidia; Bacteroidales.